AACGGCCAUCAUACCAUGUUGAAUACGAUGGUUCUCGUCCGAUCACCGAAGUUAAGCAAUAUCGUGCGUGGUUAGUACCUGGAUGGGUGACCAAUGAAGAUUCAAUGAGAAGGGUCCUUC
Molecule: ribosomal RNA, 120 nt
Filed under: Rhodnius prolixus
Lineage: Eukaryota; Metazoa; Arthropoda; Insecta; Hemiptera; Reduviidae
Source: RNAcentral